RNAcentral lists this ribosomal RNA (263 nucleotides) under uncultured bacterium. RNAcentral's name for it is "partial 16S ribosomal RNA". It matches the Rfam family "Bacterial small subunit ribosomal RNA", at positions 793 to 1055 of the family's 1533-position model. The record is from RNAcentral.
GUCCACGCCCUAAACGAUGUCGACUGGUUGUUGGGGUUUGACACUCUCAGUAACGAAGCUAACGCGUGAAGUCGACCGCCUGGGGAGUACGGCCGCAAGGUUAAACUCAAAGGAAUUGACGGGGACCCGCACAAGCGGUGGAUUAUGUGGAUUAAUUCGAUGCAACGCGAAAAACCUUACCUACCCUUGACAUGUCCGAGAGCCUGGAGAGAUCCAGGUGUGCCCGAAAGGGAAUAGGAACACAGGUGCUGCAUGGCUGUCGU